GAAAUGCGAUAAUUAAUGUGAAUUGCAGAAUUCAGUGAAUCAUCGAGUCUUUGAACGCACAUUGCGCCCCCUGGUAUUCCGGGGGGCAUGCCUGUCCGAGCGUCAUUGCUGCCCUCAAGCACGGCUUGUGUGUUGGGCUUCCGUCCCUGGCAACGGGGACGGGCCCAAAAGGCAGUGGCGGCACCAUGUCUGGUCCUCGAGCGUAUGGGGCUUUGUCACCCGCUCCCGUAGGACCAGCUGGCAGCUAGCCUCGCAACCAAUCUUUUUAACCAGGUUGACCUCGGAUCAGGUAGGGAUACCCGCUGAACUUAAGC
This 314-nucleotide unclassified non-coding RNA is filed under the name plant metagenome. Its description in RNAcentral is "partial contains 5.8S ribosomal RNA, internal transcribed spacer 2, and large subunit ribosomal RNA". The stretch from base 1 to 105 matches the Rfam family "5.8S ribosomal RNA", at positions 50 to 154 of the family's 154-position model. The record is from RNAcentral.